AGCCAGCGGCAAGUACAUUUCUCAGGUGCGAGCAUGUUGGUAUGUCCAACAGCAGAGAGCCGGUGUGGCCGGGACAGAGUGGGGAACGGAGCGAGUAGGGAAAGAGGAGGUUAGAGCACUAGAUCCUACAGGGUUUGUGGGCCACAUUCAAGACUUUGGCUUUUAUUCAGAGUAAGAUGAGGUGUCUUGCAGGGAUUUUGUGAGCAGAGGAGAAAGGUAGAAAAGGGAGCAUAUCUGGCCUGCCUGCUAUGCUUUGAAGCGCUUGCUCACAGGGUUGGUCUCUUAAUUGCAUCUGGGAAUGUAGAUUUGGGGAAAGUUCCCACCAUCCUCUGGAGUGGCUUGUUGUGCCUAAACUGUUUUCUACAAGCAAUGUGGUUUAGCUGAACAUUGUCUUCCGCCUGAGUCUGGAAUUUGUAUAUGUGCCAGGAAGGGAGUGCUAUCAUGACAAGUCCCCCAGUUUAAAAAAAAAACUCUGGGCACCAGUCUCUAACAAGCUUCCCUGGUAGAAGACAGUAUUUUGUAACUUAUUGCUGGGGGAAUUAAGGAUGUCCUGUGUGACUCCUCUUGGUGAAGCCCCUUGGCAGCUCGAGCCUGCUUUCCCGUGGACUUCGCCCCAUGGACCUCUUCCCCUUUGUGGGUUGUGUUUGGCAUCCUUUGCUGUAAAAACUACAGUCAUGACUGCAACAAUCUACAGAAACUAGAUCACCAGUUUGGGCUUCCCGGGCACCUGGAAGAAAUCUCUGAAAUGGCACACAUAGGUUAGUAUCAAGGUCUCAUCAUCAAAUUACUGUACGGGCCAUGUCACCUUCUCAAUCUCCAUUUCCUUAUCUGCAAAAUGGGAAUAAAAACCCGUGUGAGGCUUAAGUAAGACAGUGGAAGGAAAUGCGAUUGGUCCAGCCUCACAACCUGUUAGUUGUGAACCUGAAUCCUGCUCAGAGAGAAGAGGACAACUUCGGAGUCCAUCUGCUCACAGCUCCCCAGCUCAAGCAUUCUUAUUUACGUGCAAAAUUUUGUGUGUGGAUGUGAGCAUUUUUCCAGCAGAAAGGCUGAUAAUUUUCCUUGAAUGCUCCAAAAAAUUCAAGACUCUACAAAUGUUCUACGGAACAACACUGUCUGCCUGUGGUAUGGGACCUCUUGCUUGGAUCCACGGAUAACCUCCCAGUGAGUACUACAUCCUCUUGACUGCAUCCUGAAUGGACACCACACCCUUGGGGUGUUUAGUGUCAUAUGUAGCCAUCGGCGCAUUAUUUUACGCCACUGUGCCUCAGUGUCCUCAUCUGUGAAACAAGAGAGACAAGAGAUGACAUAAGCAAAGAGCUCACCAUGAUGCCUGGUGCAUGGCCGUCUCAUUGUAAGGUUUCCCCUUUUAGCUCACCACACUCACCCUUGUAAGCUGGAAUUUGGGGAGUAAAAAGAUGGAAGGGAGUAGAAACAGGAAAGUAACUUUUUUACCUAUCUGGUCUCAAUCUGGCCUUGAGUUCCUUCAUGUUUUCUUCCUGUGGUAGCACUCAUGGGUUC
RNAcentral lists this long non-coding RNA (1518 nucleotides) under Callithrix jacchus (white-tufted-ear marmoset). RNAcentral describes it as "lncRNA (ENSCJAG00000072910.1)". Lineage: Eukaryota; Metazoa; Chordata; Mammalia; Primates; Cebidae. The record is from RNAcentral.